Molecule: RNA transcript, 3160 nt
Organism: Mus musculus (house mouse)
Lineage: Eukaryota; Metazoa; Chordata; Mammalia; Rodentia; Muridae
Gene: Drc11l
Gene name: IQ motif containing with AAA domain 1 like
Exons: 18
Source: RefSeq, marked provisional
GAAUUCUUCAAACCAAACUGUUCCGCCUCUUGCUUAACUUCUGGGGGUUCCACCAACUCACAACGGGCAUUGAGAGGUGAAGGCACCAUGUCUGAGGGAACUUACCAACGCCUCUGGGAGGCCUCCCACGUGACUCUCGAAGAGGUGCUGGAAAAAGAGCCAUCUGUGCUCGAACCUGUGCCCAGCCGAGAGCGGCAGAGCUUCCAGUACAGGAUCUCCGUGCUUUACCUGUACUACCUGGGGCUGCUGCGCCGCUUCAACCUGGCCUACGACCAGAUGGUACAGCCACAGAAGCGUCGGUUGCUGCGGCGCCUUCUGGACGGUGUGGCGGGACGUGUACUGGAGCUCAAGGACGAGCUAGUGCGCGUUGACCUGUGCGAGACCCACUGCCUGGACCGAGUACUGCAGGAUCUCAAGCUGACCCCGGCAGACCUGGAGGUUCCCAUCCCCAAAUAUUUUCAGCUGGAGCAGUCCAGCGCCGUGAAGGCACGUCAGCAGAUGCUGGCUGAUAUCCUGAACAGACUGGAGCCACUGGUUUCUCAGGAGAAUCUUCGAGGAUUGAGCCGGACUGCGGCUCUGAUUCUAGUGCAAAGUGCUGAGCGGGCCAGGCAAGGCCGACUACGAGCCACUUUCAUGCGAGAAAUCAGGAAAGAGGAGGAACGGGAUCGGAGGAUUUGGGAGAAUGGGCAGCAGAAAUUCAGCCGGGACCAGGGAGCCAUUGUUAUACAGAAGGAGACACCAGCCAGCAGCAGUCACCCCUGCUGCUCCCCACUAGGCCUGCAGUCACAAGGCCUGGAAAACAUCUAAGUGGCAUGUGCCCCCGACCCCAGGUGUGGAAAGGUUACCUCCAGAGAAAACGCAUUGAGCAGGAUCGACGGGUGGAGAUGGAGUUCAUUGGCAUGCUCCCUUCGCCCAACCAGACAGCACGCCUGAAUACCCUUAACCAGGCCUUCCUAGGGGAGGAGUCACGGAGGAUGCGGCAGGUGGAAAAGGAAGAGGAAUUCCAGGAAGCCAUAGGGAAGACCUACGAGUCUCUCACGGAGACCGAGGGACCCGACAUGAAGGAGAGGAUGAAGGAUCAAAUACGACAAUGGUUUAUUGAAUGCCAGUCAGUGUCCACUGCCACAGCUGACCCAAACUUCUAUACCUCAUUCCCCAACCUGUUCUCUCGUGAGACUGUCCCUUCUCUAUCAACCCUCACCUUCUCCUCAUACUCUCGGUCUAGACCUCAAGCCCUGCUGUAAGGGCCAUCUCCACACUUGGUUUCCCAUUUCCCUGAGAGAAGAGAAGGUACCAGGACAAAUCAGGAAGAGUGUCUUGAAUGAUCCCAUAGCAUUCUCACCACCUGUUCUUUCUGUCAUCCCUUAUCUCUUUCAUCCAUCUAUUCUUCCUUUCAUCUCUCCAACCACCCCAUCUCUGUGCCUAUUCUCCUAUUCAUCUAUCAGCAGUCAGUCAUCUGCCCACCCCUCCACCAUCUCUAACUGUAUUGUAUCCACCCAGUGCCCUUACUGGUCGGUUCCCUGAUUAUCCAGAUGAGGCUUCAGGUGGAUCCUACCUGAUCUUUGCAGACAAGACUCCAGAGCAGGUGAGACUAGACCUGGAAGCACAAGCCCAGGAGAGUAGAAAGAAGGACCAAGAGAAGAAAGAGAAGAAUAAGGAGAAAGAGAAGGAAAAAAAGGAGAAGAAGAAAAAGAAAGUCAAGGAAGAAAAGGUCAAGAAGGAGCCAGAAGUGAUGUUCAGAGUGCUGCCAUCCAAAUCUAUUCCUGUGAUUAAUGCUGGGCAUGAGGAAUACACAAGUGUGUGGAAGAGCCGGUAUGACAACAAGCAUCCCAGCCAGAACUUUGACUCUGAGACCCUCCGGGAGGAGAAAAGAAAGCAAGUGGAGAUGGAGAUCCGGGUACAGGUGGAUGAGCUAAUGAGACAGGAACUGAAGAAUUUGCGUCUGGCUGUGGACAGGGAGGAGACCAGACCCCUCAAGUCUCCAAAGAAAAAAGGAGGGAAGAAAAGUGGAAAGAAGAAGAAGGAAAAAGAUCUGACCCCAGACCGGUCUGUGGACUCACUGUUUGAAGAGCUUGUUAUUAUUGGCCUUAUAAAGAAGUCUGCACUAGUGACACUCAGUGACUACAUUGGUGAUUGCCUCUAUCUCGGGUCCACUCUGACUUUGGCAAACAAGAUGCCCAUGCCGUCCCUGUUUGAUAUCCGGCAGAACAUGGCGCUGUAUGGGGUUCUUCGGCUGGGCUCCCAUGAUAUACAUACCAUGGCUCCCCUUGUCCGCUCCAUUCUCCUGGUGGGACCCUCUGGCAUGGGCAAGAAGAUGUUGGUCCAAGCUGUGUGCACAGAAACUGGUGCCAACCUGUUUGACCUGUCACCUGACAACCUGAUGGGCAAAUACCCAGGAAAGAACGGAGCACAGCUACUAGUACACAUUGUCUUUAAGGUGGCCCGGCUCCUCCAGCCCUCUGUCAUCUGGAUUGGAAAUACUGAGAAAACCUUCUACAAGAAGGUCCCAAAGGAAGAAAGGACGAUGGACCCUAAAAGAAUAAAGAAAGACCUCAUGAGGGCCACAAAGCAGCUGAGCCCUGGCGACCGAGUGAUGCUGAUUGGGACCACGGAGCGCCCACAGCUGGCUGAGAUGAAGGGGCUGUGCCGGUUCUAUGAGCGUAUUCUCUUCAUUCCCAGGCCUGAUUAUGCUUCUCGCUAUGUGCUCUGGAAACGGAUGAUAGAGAGCCAAGGAAGGGGAGUACAGCUGACCUCGAGUCUGGAUGUUAGUGCCCUGGCUAGGGUGUCUGAUGGCUACACACCUAGUCAUAUUCUACAGUCUAUCCAGUCAGUGUUGACAGAACGCCGGCUCCUUCAACUUAUCAAGAAGCCACUGGUUGCCUCUGAGUUUGUGGGGCACUUGGCAAGGCUGGAUCCAGUAUACAGGGAGGAGGAGGAAUCCCUUAAGGAAUGGUUUUUCAAGACUCCACUGGGAAAAAAGAAUAUGAAAUUUACCAAGGACCAACUGGAGGCUGAGGAGGCCAGAUUGACAAAGGAGAAGAAGAAGAAAAAGUGAUGGUCUUUGCUGUGGGGUGUGAUGUGGUGAAUGGCAGGUGCCUCCAGAGUUAAGGGUGUGACAGACACAUAAAGGCCCAGGUGGCUCCUGAGGGCUCUUCUCUUG